This 336-nucleotide RNase P RNA is filed under the name human gut metagenome. Its description in RNAcentral is "Bacterial RNase P class A". It matches the Rfam family "Bacterial RNase P class A". Rfam says of the family: Ribonuclease P (RNase P) is a ubiquitous endoribonuclease, found in archaea, bacteria and eukarya as well as chloroplasts and mitochondria. Its best characterised activity is the generation of mature 5'-ends of tRNAs by cleaving the 5'-leader elements of precursor-tRNAs. The record is from RNAcentral.
GUACACUGGGCAGUUGCGGGCUCCAUUGGAGCGUGAGGAAAGUCCGGGCUUCACACAGCAGGGUAACGGCUAACAGCCGCCGAGGGCGACCUUAGGGAAAGUGCAACAGAAAUAAACCGCCUGUGCUUUUGCAUAUGGCAAGGAUGGAAAGGCGAGGUAAGAGCUCACCGGCAUAAAGGAGACUUUAUGGCCAUGUAAACCCUACCCGAAGCAACACCGACAGGAUAUGAUACGUCAGCUGGACGAAAACCGAAAGGUGGCUUGAACUGCGGAGCAAUCCGCCGUCUGGAUAGAUGACUGCCUUAAAAGACAGAACCCGGCUUACAGGUGUACUCA